AACCAUUACAUGCAUCAACUAUCUCUCUCUCUCUGCACCCCCUCUCUCUCUUGAUGGAAAACGAACUCAUAGUUUUGAUGUUGUGGUGUCGAAAUCCAACUUCAAUCGCACUUGGUUUUCGUGGAUUCUUAACCAAUUGAACUUUUGGUGAGACUUAAAUCUUGUUGAUCCCCUGGGUUAGGUUGAGUUCUGGAUAGAUCUAGUGCUGACCAUACUGGGAUACCUACCAGGAAUUAUAUAUGCAAUUUAUGUGUUGGUUGGAUGACAUCAUAUACCAUUUGAUAUGUUUCAUUGCAAUACAGAGAUGUUUCUAUCAGUGGAACAAUAGUUUCCAUCAGAUCCCAAGUCACUACAGAGGUACCUGCUAAGGUUGAAAAGGAAUCCAAGAAACAGGAGGAAGGUGUGAUUUUGAACAAGUUCAAACCCAAGGAGCCAUACAUUGAUAGGUGUCUUCUCAACACAAAGAUCACUGGGGAUGAUGCACCUGGAGAAACUUGGCACAUGGUCUUCAGCACUCAG
Long non-coding RNA from Gastrolobium bilobum, 519 nucleotides. RefSeq lists it as uncharacterized. The record is from RefSeq and is a predicted model, not a curated record. The transcript is spliced from 4 exons. NCBI's taxonomy places the organism in Eukaryota, Viridiplantae, Streptophyta, Magnoliopsida, Fabales, Fabaceae.